AUAACAUCAAAGAGCAAGAAACGCAAUCAUGGAAGCACCCACACGAAACCCUAGUUUGCCUUCUCCACCAUAAUCGCGAAAACCCCUUCAUUGAACAUAAGACCAAAAAAUGCAAAAAUCCUAAAUCAUCAUCCAUAUCCACGACCCUCCUCCACGUGAACCACACCACCGCAAAAUCUCCUUCAUCUUCACACCCAACCUGUAAUAUCAAAGAACCAUAAACGCAGCCAUGGAAGCACCUACAUGAAACCCCCUCCAUUGCACCUUUAUCUUCAUGAACCUACAAACCCAAAAUGCAUAUAACUUCCCAAAUUAGAUAGCCAUUCGCGAAUCAUCAACACUCAAUCAAGUUCACUCCCCC
This 361-nucleotide long non-coding RNA is filed under the name Vigna radiata. RNAcentral's name for it is "long non-coding RNA (VRAD_LNC002332)". Lineage: Eukaryota; Viridiplantae; Streptophyta; Magnoliopsida; Fabales; Fabaceae. The record is from RNAcentral.